RNAcentral lists this ribosomal RNA (253 nucleotides) under uncultured prokaryote. Its description in RNAcentral is "partial 16S ribosomal RNA". It matches the Rfam family "Bacterial small subunit ribosomal RNA", at positions 525 to 777 of the family's 1533-position model. The record is from RNAcentral.
ACGAAGGGGGCUAGCGUUGUUCGGAAUUACUGGGCGUAAAGCGUGCGCAGGCGGCUUCUCAAGUCAGGGGUGAAAGCCCAGAGCUCAACUCUGGAAUUGCCUUUGAGACUGAGAGGCUUGAGUACGGGAGAGGUGAGUGGAAUUCCCAGUGUAGAGGUGAAAUUCGUAGAUAUUGGGAAGAACACCGGUGGCGAAGGCGGUCUGCUGGGCAGUAGCUGACACUGAGGCGCGACAGCGUGGGGAUCAAACAGGA